Molecule: ribosomal RNA, 225 nt
Filed under: uncultured bacterium
Lineage: Bacteria
Description: partial 16S ribosomal RNA
Rfam family: Bacterial small subunit ribosomal RNA
Source: RNAcentral
CGUGGGUAACCUACCCAUCAGAGGGGGAUAACACUUGGAAACAGGUGCUAAUACCGCAUAACAGUUUAUGCCGCAUGGCAUAAGGGUGAAAGGCGCUUUCGGGUGUCGCUGAUGGAUGGACCCGCGGUGCAUUAGCUAGUUGGUGAGGUAACGGCUCACCAAGGCCACGAUGCAUAGCCGACCUGAGAGGGUGAUCGGCCACACUGGGACUGAGACACGGCCCAG